CUCCACCAUUUUGGAGCAGAAUCCCGAGUCACGCCACGCCCAGAGCAACAGUGGAGAUAAACUCCAUGGUAGCCGGGCAGGAAGCAGAAGCCCUGUCUGCGCACAGCUGCCCAGCACAAGCCACUAGAGGUCGCUGUUCUCCCAGGAGAGGAGGACCACAAACCAACAAGAAGGGAAGUUCUUCCAGCCAUCACUCAUUCCAGCUCUGCAAACUAUUUCUAUCACCACGAAAAGGCAAAAUUACAGGCAAACCAAGAUCACAGAGGCAACACCAGAGAAGGAGACAGACCUAACCAGUCUUCCUGAAAAAGAAUUUGAAAUAAAAAUCAUGAACAUGCUGACGGAGAUGCAGAGAAAAAUGCAAGAGCAAUGGGAUGAAAUGCAGAGAAAUAUGCAAGAGCAAUGAGAUGAAGUCCGGAGGGAGAUCACAGAUGCCAGGAAGGAGAUCGCAGAAAUGAAACAAACUCUGGAAGGAUUUAUAAGCAGAAUGGAUAAGACGCAAGAGGCCAUUGAAGGAAUUGAAACCAGAGAACAGGAAUGCAUAGAAGCUGACAUAGAGAGAGAUAAAAGGAUCUCCAGGAAUGAAACAACAUUAAGAGAACUGUGUCACCAAUCCAAAAGGAA
This is a long non-coding RNA of Manis pentadactyla (Chinese pangolin), 624 nucleotides long. RefSeq lists it as uncharacterized. The transcript is spliced from 2 exons. The record is from RefSeq and is a predicted model, not a curated record. Lineage: Eukaryota; Metazoa; Chordata; Mammalia; Pholidota; Manidae.